GAUGAACGCUGGCGGCGUGCCUAAUACAUGCAAGUCGAGCGAACAGACGAGGAGCUUGCUCCUCUGACGUUAGCGGCGGACGGGUGAGUAACACGUGGAUAACCGACCUAUAAGACUGGGAUAACUUCGGGAAACCGGAGCUAAUACCGGAUAAUAUAUUGAACCGCAUGGUUCAAUAGUGAAAGACGGUUUUGCUGUCACUUAUAGAUGGAUCCGCGCCGCAUUAGCUAGUUGGUAAGGUAACGGCUUACCAAGGCAACGAUGCGUAGCCGACCUGAGAGGGUGAUCGGCCACACUGGAACUGAGACACGGUCCAGACUCCUACGGGAGGCAGCAGUAGGGAAUCUUGCGCAAUGGGCGAAAGCCUGACGGAGCAACGCCGCGUGAGUGAUGAAGGUCUUCGGAUCGUAAAACUCUGUUAGUAGGGAAGAACAAAUGUGUAAGUAACUAUGCACGUCUUGACGGUACCUAAUCAGAAAGCCACGGCUAACUACGUG
RNAcentral lists this ribosomal RNA (497 nucleotides) under uncultured bacterium. RNAcentral's name for it is "partial 16S ribosomal RNA". It matches the Rfam family "Bacterial small subunit ribosomal RNA", at positions 28 to 507 of the family's 1533-position model. The record is from RNAcentral.